RNAcentral lists this ribosomal RNA (853 nucleotides) under Hymenolepis erinacei. RNAcentral's name for it is "partial 16S ribosomal RNA". The stretch from base 596 to 853 matches the Rfam family "Archaeal large subunit ribosomal RNA", at positions 2156 to 2698 of the family's 2987-position model. The record is from RNAcentral. Lineage: Eukaryota; Metazoa; Platyhelminthes; Cestoda; Cyclophyllidea; Hymenolepididae.
GCUUUAUAGAAUUUUGAAUUUAUAUUUAUGACCGAAAGACUUAGAUUUUGUAAUUAACUGCUGAGUACUAAAAUGGGUUAGGUAAAUUUGGUUUGAGAUUAGUUACAUGAGGUGAUAAAUUAGUCGUUAAGUUUUAUAUCUGUUUAAUUGUUGUAUUUUCUAAGUGUAUCCUAGGUUAUUAUAUCUGGUAUAAUAUUAUAUUGUUAUUAAUAAUAUAUUAUAAAUGGGUUAAAGUUACCUCAUUUUAAUAAGUUUGUUAUAAAUUUGGUGAUUUAUAUAGUAUCAGUUAGUUUGUUAUGCACAAUUUAUUUAAUAUUUAGUUUAUAAGUAUUAUUAAAUGAGUAAUAUUAUUAUAUUGGUUAUUUCUCAAGUUUUGCCCGUCUGUUUAUUAAAAACAUUUCUAAUUUUUAUGAUAAUUAGUAUGACCUGCUCUAUGCUUGUGUAAAUGGCCGCAGUAUAUUGACUGUGCGAAGGUAGCAUAAUUAAUUGCCUCAUAAUUGGGGGCUUGUUUGAAUGGUUGGACGUGGUGAUAGCAAAUAUCCUUUAUUUUAUUGAAAUUGAUUUGUGUGGGCACAGAAUCCUCAUAUAUUAAUUAGACGGAAAGACCCCAGGAUCUUUCUUUUUUUGUCUGGGGCAGAUGUUAGUAUUUCACUAUUAUUUGGACCCUGAUAUAGUUUAUUGAGUUAAGUUACCCUGGGGAUAACAGUGUAAUAGCCAAUGAGAGAUCAUAUCGAAUUGGCUGUUUGCCACCUCGAUGUUGACUUAGGCAUAAGUAUGGGCGCAGUAGUUCAUUAUUUAGGUCUGUUCGACCUUAUUCGCCUCCAUGAGUUGAGUUAAGACCGGCGUAAGCCAG